GUGCCAUUCUUCUGGGGAUCUGUGUCUGUGUGGCGGUUGUGGAGCUCCUGGGGAUGAUCCUCUCCAUGUGCCUGUGCAAGAGUGUCGUCCAGGAGGAUUACAGCAAAGUACCCAAGUACUGAGCCCAGCACGAAGCCAGCCACACGUUAAACACAGAUGGACGGACUCUGCCUUUCUCUCCUCUUCGUGCACACACACACACACACACACACACACACACACACACACACAGAAAUUGAGACAGCUGUCUUCACCGUUGGAGGUUCUCGUGUCUUGACAGCUGUGCAAAUUUCUCACGCCCUCGCCCGACGUGUCCCACGCUCAAAAACUCAGCUGUCAGUCAAAGCUCGACACACACGUUGGACUCAUAUUUAAAGCGUUGUCCUUUGAUGUUUUUUUUUAUUAUUAUUAUUAUUAUUUUAUUCUUCAAAAGCUCAAGAAUUUUGUCAUUUGAUUCUAUGCAAAAGGUCCAUUUAGAUUUUAAGCGGUUUUGUCUGCGCUGACCUCAGUGUUAGAUUGAGCACUUUAGUGACAUUUUUUUUUUUUUGGGACAUUUUCACUCCCGAUUUCUAGUCAGGCAGGUGGGAGGGAAACCAGAGAGAGUGUGUGUGAAGGCCCCUCCGUAGGAUCACUGCCACCCUGUGAUCCUACACCUGGUAUUAUUGGUGCUGAGUAAGGCUUGCUCCGCUCAGGGCUGCUGCGGUGGAGGUUUUUGGUUUGGUUGGGUUCACAAUCAGCGCUCUGCACCCAGCAACCCUGACAUGAGCCUCCGCUGACCCCGCCACCUCCUCCUCCUCCUCCUCCCUAUUGUCCUUCAUCAUCCCCUGAAUCUCUGUCUUCCUGUCGGCUGGAAGCAAGCAGCCCCACAUGAAGAGUAUGUGUGACGUGCUGAGUUCUUAUUUUGUAUCUGUUUGUUCUUUUUUUUUUAUAUAUAUAUAUAUAUUUUCGUGUCAUCUGUUAUUUUUGACUGUACAUAUGCUCACUAAGGGAUUAAGGCACUCUGGUGCUCGGUCAGCACUUCAUAUGGGAAAGUUUUCACCCACAUGCUCUUGUUUUAAGAGCCCUACUGUUCUUUGUUUCCUCCCCAUUGUUCACGAUGUGCAGACCGCAGCUCCCAUCGCAGCUCGUCAGCGCUAUUUCGGUCCGAAUCGGAGACAUUGGAAUCCCUCGCGUGAAUCUGUCGUCACUCAUCAAGCCAUAUUGUUAUUUCUUUUAAUGUUUUUUGGCGAACAGAAAGCCCUCCGCUCCCCGUCGCGGUGCCCAGCGUAGUUAUUUAAGCUCUUUUUGUAAUUAAAAGACAGCCACAGUCCGUUUCCCCUGCGCUCGCGUUGUUCAGUGCCUAAUACAUUAUCUGCUCUGGUUUAUACAGGUGCAUGUCAGUUAUCUCAAAAAGCUAAUUUAUUUCAGGGAAUCAGUUCCAAAAGGGAAACUCUUAUUAAUCCAUUUCACACAUAGUGAGCAUUUAUUUCAGCUCAUUUCGAUGGUUGGUUGGAAGUUUAGUUUCUUAGAAAAUGUGAUUGUUACAUAAGAUGUGAGGUCUUUCAUUGCGGCCGUCGGCUCUUCUAGAGGUUUGUGGGCAGGCGCCAAGUCCUGCUGUAAAAUGAAAUCUGCAUCCUCAUCAAAGCUUGUCAGAAAAAAGCAUAAAUUGCUCUAAAGUUUCCCGCUAGACGCUGACCUCGGACCUCUGAAAACACAGUGGAGCAACACCAGCAGACGACAUGGCACCCCAAACCAUCUCUGAGAGUGGAAAAUUCACACUGGACCUCAAGCAACAUGGAUUCUGUGCGUCUUCACUCUUCCACCAGACUCUGGGACUUUGAUUUAUAAAUGAACUGAAAAAUCGUCUCUCAUAUAAAAGGAGGACUUUGGACCCCUGAUCAACAAUACGGUCCUUUUUCUCCUUAGCCCAGACAAGACGUUUGCCUCCCAGGUCCUGGUUAGUCUUUGUGUGGAAAGCUUGGUUUUGCUUCACAAUCCUCUGAAAACUUUGGUAAUCCAUCUUGCUUGUGCAGUUUCCUAACACAAAAUGUUAUUUUCAUUUAUAUGCUUGAGAUACAGCAUCCUGUGCACAACCAGCUUCUUUAGUAAUUAACUUUGAUGGCUUACCUUCAUUGUGGAGGAUGCCGCUCACUCCCUGCUGGACGAAUGCCAAGUCAGCAGACUUCCUGCUGACUUGGUGAUUUUGUAGAGCAUAACUAAACAUUUCUGUAGUAAAAAAUUCUCUCAUUGUUCUUAUGCAAUAUUCAGAUUUUCUCAGAAACUAAAUUUCAGGUUUCUUGUCAGUCAUAAUUUUCUAAUUUAACAAAAAGAAAUAUAACUUUGUGAGUAAUAAUUUUAAAUAUAUAUGAGUUUGUUUUUUUAAGUUGAGGUGCUGAAACAAAUAAAAUGUUGUAAAUGUUAUUCUACAUUAUUUAGAUACAGACUGUAAUAUUGAGAAGAAGGAAAAACUUUUUUUUAAAAAGCAAAGUUGUUGCAUGUUUAUUAAGGCAUCUUUCUGUCAUGCAUCCUAGAAAACCUCUGUUCUCUUUUGCCACCCCCACCCCCAUCCAUUUCAGUUUAAAAAUACAAUAAUAAUCUGUGUUUAAUGGUACAUGAGCGAGCAGACUGCAUGUUUUAUGUUUUUCAGUCCUUCCUCCUUUUACAUGAUGUUCACCUAUCACCCGUAUGCCAAAAGAGGAAACAGUUACAGUCAGCUUUCCUUCGGUUAGCCUCGCAAACUUCCACGUUAGUUUAACUUGAUGGAAAUUGAAGGCUUUUUGUAUGAAAUAUUAUGUGUAAUGAUGUCGUUUGGUAGAGUUAAAAAAAUGUGGAGUUGAAAGUCAUCAGAAGGUUUUCAUCUUGUUUUUUUUUUUUUGGUUUUUUUUGGAUUUUAAGAAUAAAACUUAAACUAUUGAGAA
Molecule: long non-coding RNA, 2897 nt
Organism: Fundulus heteroclitus (mummichog)
Lineage: Eukaryota; Metazoa; Chordata; Actinopteri; Cyprinodontiformes; Fundulidae
Exons: 2
Source: RefSeq, a predicted model, not a curated record